This 448-nucleotide ribosomal RNA is filed under the name uncultured bacterium. RNAcentral's name for it is "SSU rRNA". It matches the Rfam family "Bacterial small subunit ribosomal RNA", at positions 26 to 518 of the family's 1533-position model. The record is from RNAcentral.
AGAACGAACGCUGGCGGCAGGCCUCAAACAUGCAAGUCUAGGGGGUGUAGCAAUACAUCACCGGCGGACGGGUGCGUAACACGUGGGAAUAUACCUUUUGGUUCGGAACAACGCAGGGAAACUUGCGCUAAUACCGAAUGUGCCCUUACGGGGAAAGAUUUAUCGCCAAAGGAUUAGCCCGCGUAGGAUUAGCUAGUUGGUGAGGUAAUAGCUCACCAAGGCUCCGAUCCUUAGCUGUUCUGAGAGGAAGAUCAGCCACACUGGGACUGAGACACGGCCCAGACUCCUACGGGAGGCAGCAGUUGGGAAUCUUGGACAAUGGGGGAAACCCUGAUCCAGCCAUGCCGCGUGAGUGAUGAAGGCCUUCGGGUUGUAAAACUCUUUCGACGGGGACGAUAAUGACGGUACCCGUAGAAGAAGCUCCGGCUAACUUCGUACCAGCAGCCGC